RNAcentral lists this long non-coding RNA (690 nucleotides) under Salvia miltiorrhiza (redroot sage). RNAcentral describes it as "long non-coding RNA (SMIL_LNC008975)". The record is from RNAcentral. Lineage: Eukaryota; Viridiplantae; Streptophyta; Magnoliopsida; Lamiales; Lamiaceae.
GUCGUUACAUGCCAUCCACAGUUGGAAUAUUAUCAUAUUUAGCCAUUUUUCCAUCUAAUUUCAUCAGCCACAUUAUUGAGUCGCAACCUCACCGAUGACCACCGCGCCAAUCUUGAGGCCAUGCGGUGUUGUUUGACCGCCGCCGUCCGGCUAAACUGCCACCACUGUCCCCCUCUUUUUUUAGGAAUCUUCUAUUUCAUUCUAUAUUUUUUUUUACGUAUUUAUCGUCGUCGUUUGGCUGAAUUGCCACCACUCUAUUCCCCUCUUCUGUAGGCAUAUUCUAUUUAUUUUAUAUUUUUUAUUUGAAUUUGUUAAAUUCUUAUUUAAUUUCGUCUCCCUUUUGAACUUCUAGUGAUCCUUUUGCUUUACCAGCUUCAGUCUCUGAAGGUUUUUCUUUGCCUUCUUUCCUCCUUUUUGGCAAAUCGAAGAAACUUCUGCAGCUCGGUUAUAGUUGAAAUUUGGCGAUACAUUAUGAAACUUGUAAGCAGAGAUAGCGGAUGAAACAAGACGAGAUUUUUUAUGUGUUUUCAUGCUGUAAGCAGUUGAUGCUAUUGCUAUUGGCCAUUAACUUCAAAUGCCAGAUUUUACAUUACGAAACGAUUCCAUUUUCAAUUACAGCUUUGACUCAAUUAGAAAAUUGUAGUGUCUCCACAAAAUCAGUUAUGAACUUCAUCGUGGCUGUGGAGCUAU